CACAACACAACUCUAGACACAAAUAAAAACAUACAAGCUUCAUAUUACAAGACAGGCCCCUCGAGGGCUAGAAUAUAGAAGCUUGAUAAACACACGAGUCAGCGGAAGCAACAAAUAUCAUAGUACAGACAUGAAACAUGUUAAUGCCUUAGAGAAGGCUAGCACAAAAGAUACAACGAUCGAACGAGGCGAGGCCUCCUGCCUGGGAACCUCCUAAACUACUCCUGGUCUUUAGCGGCCUCCACAUAGUAGUAGGCACCGUCGGGGUAGCAGUCGUCGUCGACAGGAUACGCCAUCUCCUGGGCUCCAUCAUGUGGUCACAACAAUCAGAUCAAGGGGAAAAGGGGGAGCAAAGCAACGGUGAGUACUCAUCCAAAGUACUCGCAAGAAUGACAUCAGAACUAUGUUAAGAAUGCAUCAGUAUCAAAGAAAGGGUUUAUGUGGACUCAGUGCAGCAAUGCGAGAAUAGAGAGAGAAGGCCUAGUCCUAUCGAAGACUAGUAUCUUCAGGGGUCUUGCAGCAAUAGACGAGAAUAGAGCAGGUAACACAAUUAAUAGUCAUAUUGUUGCAUCAAUAUUAAUUAAAUUCAUGCCCAGAGAUUCUCCCUCGACUCCGUGCGAGGAAGCAAUCCUAGAGCAAACAUUCCAGUUAAGUAACAGUUGUAGUUGUACAAGAUCGGGGCACAACUCCAAGUCGUCCUGUAACCGUGGACACGGCUAUCCGAAUAGUUAAUUUUCAUCCAUGCACAGGUGCACCAAGUUUCCCGUCAUGCUCGAUAAACUUUGACCGGACACACUUUCCUCGUUCAUGCCCGGUCUCGGAACAUCGACACGUCGCAACCCCACCUAGACUCAACAAAGAGGCCAGCCCGUCGGUCUAAAUCCUAAGCGCAUAGGGGUGAUGGGCCCAUCACCCUUUGCGCUCAUGCACGAUGCAUGGGCGGCCCAUGUCAGUCAUGGCACCUAUUAUACAAGAGCGGUGAUAAUCCAGACAAUUCGGGCGCGUACCGCUCCAUUGCUGACGUCUGAACAGAUUCGGCUGAUAGCACGACGUCGAGUACCCGUAACUUCUCCCGCAUAGCCGGUUAGUGCGAAAAGGUCUCUGACCAACCCAGAUCAAAUACCCAAAUCCUUAGCAUUUUAAUUAACUCAUCGACACAUCCACGCGGGAAUCCACCCGCCAAACAUUUAUUCAUCAAUGUUCCCAGUAACAAGGUCAAGUAACCGUGUGGCUAAAACAUUAGAACGACCCGAGGUAUCACCCUCGAUGGACUCCGAACAACGUAACCGUCAAAGUGGCCAGGGAGGAAUCACCCUCGUUGGGCCAUCUUGGGUUGUACGACAGAGUCGUUAUCGGAAGUGGUGAAGGAGGAAUCACCCUCCGUGAACCACCGUCGGUCAACUACACCACAACAAUAACAUCAGGAGUACGUAAAGAGGUGUCACCCUCGGUACUCGAUAGUAGCUCUGCAGUGUCGUACAACUAAGGGGGUGGGAGUGUUGUGUCGGGUCUUGGCUCGUCGAUCAGUUGAUCGAGACUUGACAAAAAAGUGGAGGUAAGUGGUCUAAGGGGUCGAAGGGGAUAACUGCUCCACCUAUUCUAAACAGUUUAGAAUGCGGUACAGUAAAGUAGCAGUUCAUCAAAAACAGGCUAUGCAUCAGAAUAGGAGCUAUCUACAACAGUAGCAAAAUUCUAAUGCAAACAUGAGGGAGAAAUAAUAGGCGAUAUAGGAAUGAUCAAUGGGGGUUUGCUUGCCUUGUUGCUCUGCAGACAAAAAUGGACCCUUGACCGGGAAGUAGUCGAUCACCGAAUCAUCAUCGGUCUCGGGGUCUAUCGGAAAGGAAAUAACAGAGGGGAACACAAUAAAUAACAGAGCAAUCAAAUGCAUCACAAAGUAUGACAUGGCUAUAGGUAGUGCUAGGCAUGAGCUAACGCAGUACUACACGUCUUGGACGGAUCGGGAAAAUAUCUGACGAUAUUUCCUGGGUCUCUCGCUAUUACAUGACAGGCGAAUACGAUGGAAAAUUUCCAUGUUCGCUAUACUACACACGCGUGACACAUAAACGGACAACGUAUCCGUAUUUGUCUCGUUUUUCUGAUCAACUUUCAUGUAUAAAAUAUUUUCAUCCGGAUUACAGAUUAUUUCAUAUUAAUUUUUAAAUUUUUGUUAUUUUUUUCUGAAAUUUUAUUAAAUUGAAAUUAAAUGAUUAAAUUUCUACGGGUACACACAAGUGUACCCAACAAUGUGCACAUAGACUGACAGGUAGGGCCAGUCAACUGCCGAGUCAGCAAUUGACUAGCCAACAUUGACUCGUCAAAGGCCCAGUGGGACCCAGCUGUCAUAGAGAGUAACUAAACUUAUUUUGAUUUUUUUUAAUAUUCAGGGGAACCACAUAUCAGCCGUACAUAUGAUAAUCGAGCCACUAAUUAGUCCCUAAAACUAAUCUCGUACAACCCAGCCUCACGGUUGUACAUACACACACCUACACAACACAUGGCCAUGGUCAUGGCCAUGGCCACCAGCAGCAGCAGCAAUAGACGGCAGCCAAGAGCAGCGGCAAUGCAGCUUGCAGGAGCAGACAACAGUGGCAACAGCGACAGGAGCAAGCGACACUACGGGUGCAGGGAAGAUGUGGGGCACGGGCUCGCGCAGAGUGGAGGGAGAGGAGAGGGUGGCCGGGGCCGGUGUGCUCACCACCGAGCAGGGGUGGCAGAGGCUCGAGGAGGCUCAGGCGGGGUGGUGGCAUGGUGGUACGCCGGUGGUGCAGCGCCGCCGGGGAGGACAUGUGUCGACGUGUGGCACUGGCCGAUGCGGCGACGCAGGUUGGGCAGUGGGGGCGGGGGUGCCUGUCCCGUGCGGGAUCGAGAGCGGUGGCGGGCGGGGGCUAGCGUGGUGGCGACGGGGUGGUGGUGACGUGGGAUCGGGGUGAGGCGAUGACACAGUCGCGCGGGGCGAGGGCACGCGACCAGACGCCGGCGACGGACGACGGGGAGGAGGACCGACGGGGUAGGGGCCGUGGCGUUGGGCCGGCGCGGCCGGUGUCAGGCGGGCGUGGAGAGGCCCCGAUCUGAUCUGGAUCGGGAGCGGGGAGGGGGUGAGCGAGGUGGGUGGUGAAUGGGGUGACACGGGCUGUCAGUGGGGGGUGGCCCUUUGUAGCGACGGAGGGGAGGUGGGCCGCCGGCUGGCAGGG
RNAcentral lists this long non-coding RNA (3191 nucleotides) under Hordeum vulgare. Its description in RNAcentral is "long non-coding RNA (HVUL_LNC007709)". The record is from RNAcentral. Lineage: Eukaryota; Viridiplantae; Streptophyta; Magnoliopsida; Poales; Poaceae.